RNAcentral lists this ribosomal RNA (310 nucleotides) under uncultured bacterium. Its description in RNAcentral is "partial 16S ribosomal RNA". It matches the Rfam family "Bacterial small subunit ribosomal RNA", at positions 503 to 807 of the family's 1533-position model. The record is from RNAcentral.
AAGAGACAGCAGCAGCCACGGUAAUACAGAGGGUGCGAGCGUUAAUCGGAUUUACUGGGCGUAAAGCGUGCGUAGGCGGCUUCUUAAGUCGGAUGUGAAAUCCCUGAGCUUAACUUAGGAAUUGCAUUCGAUACUGGGAAGCUAGAGUAUGGGAGAGGAUGGUAGAAUUCCAGGUGUAGCGGUGAAAUGCGUAGAGAUCUGGAGGAAUACCGAUGGCGAAGGCAGCCAUCUGGCCUAAUACUGACGCUGAGGUACGAAAGCAUGGGGAGCAAACAGGAUUAGAGACCCCUGUAGUCCCUGUCUCUUAUAC